CUGGUGUAUCACAUAAAUUAUAUUGCCUUAUAAUACCAAGCCUUCUAGAAACAAUUGACAUGUUCAGUAUAGGGGGAUGAUUAUACAAAUUAUAAAAGUAGUAAUAAUUUCUCAGGCCCAAAUCUUUUCUGUUUUCACACAUACUCCAUAUCCAAUUCAUCUAUAAAUUCUGUUUGCUGUCCCUUAAAAAUGAUUUCAAAUCUGAACAUACUUCUUCACUUACACAGCUACUCUGUGGUCCAAAUCCCAGCCCUCUCUGGCCUAACACUGGAGAGUUUCUCACCUGCUCUCCUUGCUUUCACUCUACUCCUCCUGUUGUCUCUUAUGUGCACAGGUGCCACACCGGGAAUUGAAAAUGCAAAAUAGGUACCACCAUCUUGCUCAAAACUCUCCAGUGUCCAUCUUCUUAUUGCACUUAACAUGAUACCUGAAGUUCUGACCAAGGCUUACAGGAUGUUACUUGAUCUGAGACUUGGCCAUUGCUCCAACCUCAUUUCCUACUGUUCUCCCCUUUCUGGCUUCUCUACCAACACUGGCUUCUUGUUGUUCUUUGAACAUGUGUACGAAUCUUUUAACUUGAUGUUCCCUCUGUUUGGGACACUUUCCCCUAAGGUUAUUGACAUAACUUUCUUCUUCACUUCCCUUGCAUCUUGGUUCAAUUUUGUCCUUCUCAGACCAUCCUAUUCAAAAUAGCAAUUCCCUUCUGAUCCUCAUUACAUUGGUGACGCAUUCUGAGAAAACACAAGUCCAAAAUUCAAGAAAGCAUUGGAUUGUAGUUUAAAUCAUUGCUCCCAAAGCUGGGUUGCAGUGGUAUUUCUACACCAAUUUAAGCGCUUUAUGCAGAUUGUCUCAUUUAAUUUUCACCACGACUCUUUUGAUCAGUGUUUCCUAUUUUCAGAUCAUGAACCUGAAGAUGAGAGAUGAUUUCCUGUAGUGUAAGUGGAGGAGCCAGGACUUGAACCGCGGCAAUGGGGGUCGGCACCAACAGGCUAAACUGCCUCCCAGGGCACUGGGCACAUCUUUCCUUCUCACCCUUGCACUGUGUCACAAGGGGCAGCAGCUGUCUUUAAUUUCAUGUUUCACUCUCUCAAAAUUUCCCCCUUUUUUAUUUUCUAAAACUCAGCCUACACUGAUUAAUUGCUGUCCCAUGCUCUACUGCCUUUGUCCUGGGUCUCUCUCCUUCUUAGACACCUCCACUUUAAAGCAAUCUGGAAUCCCUGACUUCUCCAGCUCUAUAUUUUUGGCCAGUUUGUCAUCAUUUGCAUAAAGAAGCUCAAAAGACAGCCUGGGGGCAUGCCACACCCUCCUACAAAGGGGCAGGAGGAGAGACACAAUUCUCAUCACACAUUUUCAAGUUUCUAGAAGAUGCCUCUGCAAUACUUCAGUACGGAGCACACACUUCCUGAACUACUCCAAGUGGAAAUGAUUUCACCUUUCUCUGAAUCUUUAUAGAAUGUGUUUCUGUUUCUAUUGAUUUGACCCUAGUAUUUAACCAUACAAAGCGAAUGGUAGGUGUGUUGCCUUUAGCAAGUUAUUCAUCACUUUGUACCUUAGUUUCUUUCUCUGUAAAAUGGAGAAAAUAAUAUCUACACUUCAAGGUCGUGGGAGGGAUUAAAUAACGCAAGAUACCUAUUAAUACUUGGCAUACAGUUGACAAUCAUUAGUCAUGAGUUCAUCUUGAAUCUGAUUCUGAAGGCAGAAUAUGUAUCUUUCCUCAUACCUGCAGUGUUGAGUCAUUGUAUUAGUCCUGAGGAAGUGACUGGAAAAGAAGUCUCAAUUUCACUGCCAAAGAAAUAAUUGGAUCAAGGUUACAUAGCGUAUUUAAAAAAAAAAAAAAACAACUCAAGCAAACAAACAAAAUAAAUGUGUGCAUGCUUAUAACCCUCUUAUGCAUGAUUUCCAGGUCAGACAUUUCUAAAUGUAGCCUUCUGUGGACACCUUUGAGCACUGAAUGACAGAUGGCAUAGAGUGAUGGACAAGGAAAUGGACCCAGAUAGGAAAUCUGGGUUCUAACCAUUCCUCCCUAGCUACGUGACCCAACUUAAGGUACUUAUUUUCCUUAGGCUCAG
Molecule: long non-coding RNA, 2069 nt
Filed under: Homo sapiens (human)
Lineage: Eukaryota; Metazoa; Chordata; Mammalia; Primates; Hominidae
Description: HSALNT0134228
Source: RNAcentral